RNAcentral lists this ribosomal RNA (301 nucleotides) under uncultured bacterium. RNAcentral describes it as "partial 16S ribosomal RNA". It matches the Rfam family "Bacterial small subunit ribosomal RNA", at positions 509 to 807 of the family's 1533-position model. The record is from RNAcentral.
CAGCAGCCGCGGUAACACGAAGGGUGCAAGCGUUAAUCGGAAUUACUGGGCGUAAAGCGUGCGUAGGCGGUGAGUUAAGUCUGUUGUGAAAUCCCCGGGCUCAACCUGGGAAUGGCAAUGGAUACUGGCAAGCUAGAGUGUGUCAGAGGAUGGUGGAAUUCCCGGUGUAGCGGUGAAAUGCGUAGAGAUCGGGAGGAACAUCAGUGGCGAAGGCGGCCAUCUGGGACAACACUGACGCUGAGGCACGAAAGCGUGGGGAGCAAACAGGAUUAGAUACCCCCGUAGUCCCUGUCUCUUAUAC